Molecule: ribosomal RNA, 492 nt
Filed under: uncultured bacterium
Lineage: Bacteria
Description: partial 16S ribosomal RNA
Rfam family: Bacterial small subunit ribosomal RNA
Source: RNAcentral
AGUGAACGCUGGCGGUAGGCCUAACACAUGCAAGUCGAACGGCAGCACAGUAAGAGCUUGCUCUUACGGGUGGCGAGUGGCGGACGUGUGAGGAAUACAUCGGAAUCUACUUUUUCGUGGGGGAUAACGUAGGGAAACUUACGCUAAUACCGCAUACGACCUACGGGUGAAAGCAGGGGAUCUUCGGACCUUGCGCGAUUGCAUGAGCCGAUGUCGGAUUAGCUAGUUGGCGGGGUAAAGGCCCACCAAGGCGACGAUCCGUAGCUGGUCUGAGAGGAUGAUCAGCCACACUGGAACUGAGACAAGGGCAAGACUCCUUCAGGAGGCAGCAGUGGGGAAUAUUGGACAAUGGGCGCAAGCCUGAUCCAGCCAUACCGCGUGAGUGAAGAAGGCCUUCGGGUUGUAAAGCCCUUUUGUUGGGAAAGAAAAGCAGCAGGUUAAUACCCCGCUGUUCUGACGGUACCCAAAGAAUAAGCACCGGCUAACUUCGUG